RNAcentral lists this long non-coding RNA (848 nucleotides) under Theobroma cacao (cacao). RNAcentral describes it as "long non-coding RNA (TCAC_LNC003195)". Lineage: Eukaryota; Viridiplantae; Streptophyta; Magnoliopsida; Malvales; Malvaceae. The record is from RNAcentral.
AGGGAACAAAGAGAAAAAGAGAAGAACAAACCCUAGGAAAGAAAAAUUCAAGAGAAAUUGUUAGAUUUUAAGGAAUCAAGCAAGUAAAGGUAAGAUUUUUUAAUUUUAGCUUGUGAUCUACCUUUCCCAUGCAUUCUUUUUCAUUCUCCAUGGUUGAAACUCAAGAUUUCAUGAAGGAAAGUUUGCUGGCUGAACCUAGGGGGAGAGGUUUUGAUCACGGGUUUUGUUAGAUUUCAUGCUACAUACGCGUUUUUAGUUGUUUUGUGAUACUCAGUGUGAAAAACAAGCAUAAAAACCACAUGUUCUUCAUGAAACCCUCAUUUGGCCGAAUUUUGCAUAGGGCAUGUUGAUGAUGGAUUUGGUUGUAAAUCAUAUUAUUUAGCUAGGAAUUGAUGAUUUAUGGUAUCGAAUAUUGAAAUCGAAAUGAAUUUCGGUUACGGUGAAUUAAGUCACAAUUAAGCUCAUUGAGGUACUUUAGUGUAUUUGGAAUAUUGGAAGUGUAAUGAAGAUAUUUGGAGUUGAAUUGGAUGUUUUGGCUAAUUAAACAAGGCAUAGUUUGAGUUAGGUUGAAUACAAAUUUAGUCCGAUCAUAAUUGAACCCACGUAGAACACCAUCUUUAAGUGAUUAUUCGGACAAUUCUCAUUCAAUUUCACGCAUUCAUAUAGAGCCUGAAAUAGUUUUAUAACAAUUUGGCACAAAUAUAUUGAAUUACAUGUCGUGUAUUAUGUAUAGGUGGUGAGCCCUCUGAUAAGGGUAAAGAUAUUGUGCCCUAGGACCAAGAAUAGGAGUACUCCAAACUCUUUCUAUUGUGAGUAACAGACUUUCAUCUUAACUAUCUAAAGUUGUU